Molecule: unclassified non-coding RNA, 221 nt
Filed under: soil metagenome
Description: partial contains 5.8S ribosomal RNA, internal transcribed spacer 2, and large subunit ribosomal RNA
Source: RNAcentral
AACGGUCUAUACCUGCGGUACCUGCGGAAGGAUCAUUACCGAGUUUUCAACUCCCUAACCCUUCUGUGAACCUACCUAUCGUUGCUUCGGCGGACUCGCCCCAGCCCGGACGCGGACUGGACCAGCGGCCCGCCGGGGACCUCAAACUCUUGUAUUCCAGCAUCUUCUGAAUACGCCGCAAGGCAAAACAAAUGAAUCAAAACUUUUAACAAUGGAUCUCU